UAUGUGAUCGUCUCUCGCAUAUCAAUAAGCGGAGGAAAAGAAACUAACAAGGAUUCCCCUAGUAACGGCGAGUGAAGCGGGAAGAGCUCAAAUUUGAAAUCUUAAAGGGUUUCCCUUUACGAAUUGUAGUUUAAAGAAGUGUUUUCUGUUGAGGUUUUGGUAAAAGUUCUUUGGAAUAGGACAUCAUAGAGGGUGAGAAUCCCGUAUUUGACCUUUACUUUCAACUUUGUGAUACACUUUCAAAGAGUCGGAUUGUUUGGGAAUGCAGUCCAAAAUGGGUGGUAAAUUUCAUCUCAAGCUAAAUAUUGGCGAGAGACCGAUAGCGAACAAGUACCGUGAGGGAAAGAUGAAAAGAACUUUGAAAAGAGAGUUAAACAGUACGUGAAAUUGUCAAAAGGGAAGCGUUUGACACCAGUGUUGUUUUUCUGAAAAUCAAUUAAAGAACUGUUUAUGCUAAGUUGUUUAGACUUUAUCAGCUAACUGUUUAGUUUUGAGCUUUUCUUUAAUGCACUUUUCAGUUAACAAGUCAACAUCAAUUUCUUUUGCUGUAAAAAAGCUUGAGGAAGGUGGCUUGAGAUUCGUCUUAAGUGUUUAUAGCCUCUUGCCUAUGCAGUCGGAGAGAUUGAGGUCUGCAGCGUAGAUCCUUCGGGGCUAAAUGCAUUUGUGCUAAGUUAUAACAUUUUAUAGACAACUUGUUGACUAUGAUUUGUCUUGUAGCUUACUCGCUUAUGUUAUUUUACCUACGCUUAGGAUGUUGACACACGCGCGUGCUCG
RNAcentral lists this ribosomal RNA (774 nucleotides) under uncultured Neocallimastigales. RNAcentral describes it as "partial large subunit ribosomal RNA". It matches the Rfam family "Eukaryotic large subunit ribosomal RNA", at positions 24 to 643 of the family's 3401-position model. Lineage: Eukaryota; Fungi; Neocallimastigomycota; Neocallimastigomycetes; Neocallimastigales. The record is from RNAcentral.